RNAcentral lists this ribosomal RNA (504 nucleotides) under uncultured bacterium. RNAcentral describes it as "bacterial SSU rRNA". It matches the Rfam family "Bacterial small subunit ribosomal RNA", at positions 43 to 518 of the family's 1533-position model. The record is from RNAcentral.
CGUGCCUAAUGCAUGCAAGUCGAACGGUCUUUUCUAUGGAAGCUUGCUUCCACUGAGAAGAUAGUGGCGAACGGGUGAGUAACACGUGGGUAACCUGCCCAUAAGAGGGGGGAUAACAUCCGGAAACGGGUGCUAAUACCGCAUAGUUUUCUUGAUCGCAUGAUUGAGAAAGGAAAGACGGCCUUUGUGCUGUCGCUUAUGGAUGGACCCGCGGCGUAUUAGUUAGUUGGUGAGGUAACGGCUCACCAAGACGAUGAUACGUAGCCGACCUGAGAGGGUGAUCGGCCACAUUGGGACUGAGACACGGCCCAAACUCCUACGGGAGGCAGCAGUAGGGAAUCUUCCGCAAUGGACGAAAGUCUGACGGAGCAACGCCGCGUGAGUGAAGAAAGGUUUUCGGAUCGUAAAACUCUGUUGUCAGAGAAGAACAAGUUGGAGAGUAACUGCUCCAGCCUUGACGGUAUCUGACCAGAAAGCCACGGCUAACUACGUGCCAGCCGCCGC